CGGGUGAGUAACACGUAGGUAAUCUACCUUUGAGUGGGGAACAACUUAGGGAAACUUAAGCUAAUACCGCAUAAUGCAGAGAUAUCGAUGAUAUUUUUGUUAAAGGAGCAAUCCGCUUAAAGAGGAGCCUGCGGCAGAUUAGCUAGUUGGUAAGGUAAUGGCUUACCAAGGCUACGAUCUGUAACCGACCUGAGAGGGUGGUCGGUCACACUGACACUGAAUAACGGGUCAG
RNAcentral lists this ribosomal RNA (232 nucleotides) under uncultured bacterium. RNAcentral's name for it is "partial 16S ribosomal RNA". It matches the Rfam family "Bacterial small subunit ribosomal RNA", at positions 103 to 334 of the family's 1533-position model. The record is from RNAcentral.